This 1679-nucleotide unclassified non-coding RNA is filed under the name Hevea brasiliensis (rubber tree). Lineage: Eukaryota; Viridiplantae; Streptophyta; Magnoliopsida; Malpighiales; Euphorbiaceae. The record is from RNAcentral.
GGAUAGUGAAAAUAAAUUAAAAGCUUGCUAGUAUUAUUUGCCUCCCAUUAAUUCACCUGUCAAAAAUGAACAUAUAAAUAAAUAAAACAAAUUUGUUCUGCUUUCAAUGGAAUGUCAGGAACAAUUUUGGAACCUCAAGUACACAAACGAUCAAACCUCACAAGUAUUAGAAGUCUCCCAUGCUUUCCAACCCCAAGACUCCACCAUAGGAAAUCAUCAGUGAAAAGAAGUGUUUUCUUUAACUAGAUUAUGGAAAUGAAUGCCAUCCAUAGAAUUGAAAACCCCAAAAUCAAUGCCAAGUUUUUCAUCUUCAUGGAUGGAGCUUCAAAUGAAGGAGUCUCGAAAAUUCACAGAUCAAUCACCACACAUAUUCUACAGCUUCACUUCUGUUCGGAGGUUGCAUUCUUUUCAGCUUCAAGAUUUGUACCUUCCUUGAGUGCUACCUGUGCUUCAUUCUCCAUUCCCAGUGCAGCAUGGGCAACAGCCUGGAGAUAAGAUGCAACAUGCCAUACAGGGGAAAUGACUUGGGCUUGCAUUGCAUCAUUUAGAGCUUCUUGAGGCAUAUCACUCAUAAGAAAGGACAGGCUGCGCCGUGCAAAAACAGUUGGAGAAACCAUUGUUCCAGCAUCAAUGAACUGUGUAUAACACUCAAUUGCUUCUCUGAAGUCCUUCUGCUUGAAAGCAGAAUCACCCUUUUUCUUGAAAUUCAAAGUUUCUUGCAUUUCGUCAGUCCACAUUUGGAACGAGAGCUCAUUUGUUACUCCUUCAUCGUCUUUAUAGCCAAUAUUGUCUAAGAUUUCACGUAUGGCUGUCAGGUCCUUUCUUGAGCAAGCCUCACCAAAUGGAGACAAAGGAGAUAGUGAAGCACUGUGUGGAAUACCCAUCAAGACAUGGGAAGGCACCUGCAUAGUGAAGGAAAUGGAAACUUAAAAACUACGGCUACCAGCUAGCCAAGUUUGGUGCAAAAGGUUAGAUCUAGGUGUGACUGUGAACUAUGUUUCCCAGGUCCCAAGUUAAUGACUGCAUCCCACUCCUAGGAUACCAAAACAAAUACAGGAGCCAGGAAGACUUUACUUCAACUUCCUUCUGAAGAGGAUUCAAAGCAGCCACUAAUGAUUUUGAAUUUGGUCGUUCCCGGAGUUCAUACUGUAAACAACGAGAAGCCAAGCGUACUAACUCAGUCCCAUCAUCAUUGGAAAACUGCCCUUCCAAGCAAGAGUCUGUUAACAUCUGAAGAUUUCUGUCCCGUAUCAAGUCAAGGGCAUGGCUGGGAGGUAUGUGCUUUCCACUGAGAAGGUCAACCAAAAGAGUGCCAAAGCUAUAUAUUACACUUUCUGGCGUUACUCUUCCAGUUCUCAAAUACUCAGGAGGAGUAAAUGCUAGAUUAGUACUGUAACUUUUUCCAUCCCUGCUGUUUUUCAUCAAACCAAAGCUCGAUAAUCUUGGAUUGCCAUCCUCAUCGAAUAAAAUUCUGUAAGCAUUAAGAUCAUGAUAGAGAGCACGUCCUUUACUUGUGCAGUAUUCUAGAGCUUCCGCAAGAUGUAGGGCAACCCUUAAUCGCAUUGCCCAUUUCAUAGGUUGUGUUUCCCAAUGAAAAAGGUGUUUGGCAAGUGUCUCAUUGGGCAAGUAUUCUGCCACAAGCAGCCUCUCAUCAUCUUCACAACAACAACCAAGCAAAU